Molecule: ribosomal RNA, 497 nt
Filed under: uncultured bacterium
Lineage: Bacteria
Description: partial 16S ribosomal RNA
Rfam family: Bacterial small subunit ribosomal RNA
Source: RNAcentral
GAUGAACGCUGGCGGCGUGCCUAAUACAUGCAAGUCGAGCGAACAGACGAGUAUCUUGCUCCUCUGACGUUAGCGGCGGACGUGUGAUUAACACGUGGAUAACCUACCUAUAAUACUGGGAUAACUUCGUGAAACCGGAGCUAAUACCGGAUAAUAUAUUUAACCGCAUGGUUCAAUAGUGAAAUACGGUUUUUCUGUCACUUAUAGAUGGAUCCGCGCCGCAUUAGCUAGUUGGUAAGGUAACGGCUUACCAAGGCAACGAUGCGUAGCCGACCUGAGAGGGUGAUAGGCCACACUGGAAAUGAGACACGGACAAGAAUACUACGGGAGGCAGCAGUAGGGAAUCUGCCGCAAUGGGCGAAAGCAUGACGGAGCAAAGCCGAGUGAGUGAUGAAGGUCUUCGGAUCGUAAAACUCUGUUAUUAGGGAAGAAAAAAUGUGUAAGUAAAUAUGCACGUCUUGACGGUAACUAAUCAGAAAGCAACGGCUAACUACGUG